CGGCGUAAACAUAGUUUUUGUGCCCUGAAAAGCCUUAGAGAGAACUCCGGUGAAAAUCCGGGACGGUCCCGCCGCUGUAUGGGAGUACGAAACCGGCAUAAUUUCAAAACCAGUGGAAGGUAGCCAAUCCCUCUGCGAAGGAGCCGGAAGUAGGACGAUCCCCGAGUCAGAAGAACUGCAAAAACGGAAAACUUGUA
RNAcentral lists this non-coding RNA (197 nucleotides) under Fibrobacter sp. The record is from RNAcentral. Lineage: Bacteria; Pseudomonadati; Fibrobacterota; Fibrobacteria; Fibrobacterales; Fibrobacteraceae.